GAGGGUAUGUUAUGCUUAUUGAGUAGAAAGUUUAAUAGAUGGUGGCUAGAUACUUCUUGAAAAAGGGGGUCGAUGCCGAUGUUAAUUUUUGGUUAUAUCCCUAGAAAGGAAUAACAUGAGUGUUUUCGAGACACUAGUAUUACUGAUUAAUUUCAGUUUGCUAAUUAUCGCGAUCCUAAAAUUUAA
Molecule: small RNA, 186 nt
Filed under: Carnobacterium maltaromaticum
Lineage: Bacteria; Bacillati; Bacillota; Bacilli; Lactobacillales; Carnobacteriaceae
Description: rli28
Rfam family: Listeria sRNA rli28
Source: RNAcentral